RNAcentral lists this transfer RNA (69 nucleotides) under Aegosoma sinicum. RNAcentral's name for it is "tRNA-Gln". It matches the Rfam family "tRNA". Rfam says of the family: Transfer RNA (tRNA) molecules are approximately 80 nucleotides in length. Their secondary structure includes four short double-helical elements and three loops (D, anti-codon, and T loops). The record is from RNAcentral. Lineage: Eukaryota; Metazoa; Arthropoda; Insecta; Coleoptera; Cerambycidae.
UACACUUUAGUAUAUGAUGUAUAUAGGUUUUUGAUACCUAAGGGGUUGGUUUAAUUCCUUCAAGUGUAA